UACGGGGGGGGCAAGCGUUGUUCGGAAUUACUGGGCGUAAAGGGCGUGUAGGCGGCCAACUAAGUCCGACGUGAAAUCCCCAGGCUUAACCUGGGAACUGCGUCGGAUACUGGAUGGCUUGAAUCCGGGAGAGGGAUGCAGAAUUCCAGGUGUAGCGGUGAAAUGCGCAGAGACCCGGAGGAACACCGGUGGCGAAGGCGGUUCUCUGGGCAUGUCCUGACGCUGAGGAGCGAAAGUGUGGGGAGCGAACAGG
RNAcentral lists this ribosomal RNA (253 nucleotides) under uncultured bacterium. Its description in RNAcentral is "partial 16S ribosomal RNA". It matches the Rfam family "Bacterial small subunit ribosomal RNA", at positions 524 to 776 of the family's 1533-position model. The record is from RNAcentral.